UCGGGAAUUUUGGGCAAUGGGCGAAAGCCUGACCCAGCAACGCCGCGUGAAGGAUGAAGUAUUUCGGUAUGUAAACUUCGAAAGAAUAGGAAGAAUAAAUGACGGUACUAUUUAUAAGGUCCGGCUAACUACGUGCCAGCAGCCGCGGUAAUACGUAGGGACCAAGCGUUGUUCGGAUUUACUGGGCGUAAAGGGCGCGUAGGCGGCAAUUCAAGUCAUCUGUGAAAUCUCCGGGCUUAACUCGGAACGGUCAGAUGAUACUGCUUUGCUAGAGUGCAGAAGGGGCAAUCGGAAUUCUUGGUGUAGCGGUGAAAUGCGUAGAUAUCAAGAGGAACACCUGAGAUGAAGACGGGUUGCUGGGCUGACACUGACGCUGAGGCGCGAAAGCCAGGGGAGCAAACGGGAUUAGAUACCCGUGUAGUCCCUGAGCGGGCUGGCAAGGCGCAU
RNAcentral lists this ribosomal RNA (447 nucleotides) under uncultured bacterium. RNAcentral describes it as "bacterial SSU rRNA". It matches the Rfam family "Bacterial small subunit ribosomal RNA", at positions 355 to 825 of the family's 1533-position model. The record is from RNAcentral.